Molecule: long non-coding RNA, 519 nt
Filed under: Cyanistes caeruleus (blue tit)
Lineage: Eukaryota; Metazoa; Chordata; Aves; Passeriformes; Paridae
Description: lncRNA (ENSCCEG00000010449.1)
Source: RNAcentral
CUAAAAUGCAUGUGGUGAGCUGUUCAGCCUCUGGAAAUGGCAUUGUAUGGCAUCACAGUAGUUAGCAUAGUGCUACUAUGCUACAUAUGCUUUCUAUGAUAUAGGUUGAUUUUUCUGGUCUGACUUUUGUUUUGUUCUAUUUUGUUCUUUUUUUUUUUUUUUUUUUUUUUUUUUUUUUUUUUUUUUUUUUUUUUUUUUAAUUAGUGACUCACGUUAUUAGAAUUGGUGAAUUAGGCCUGUAUCCCAUGCCACAAACCCUGAAGUGAGUCCAGAGAAGAGCAACAAAGCUGGUGAGGAGGCAAGAGAGCAAGUCUUGUGGCCUCAGGCCUGUUAGGCAAGAUAAUGGAAGUAGGUAAUGCCACGUGGUGGCUGUGGACAGACACUUGAGUUUUCAGGUCUCCAUUGUUGCAAUUGGAAGAGUAGAGAAUGUUGUCUUCACUUUAAAUGAAUUUUUUUUUAAUCAUUUGUCUGUGAGAGAAGUAUUUUUUCUGUGAGUUCAGAGUUUUUACUUUAUUGGUA